RNAcentral lists this small RNA (1632 nucleotides) under Pongo abelii (Sumatran orangutan). Its description in RNAcentral is "retained intron". The record is from RNAcentral. Lineage: Eukaryota; Metazoa; Chordata; Mammalia; Primates; Hominidae.
GCCGAGCAGGAGGCGCCAUCAUGGGAGUGGACAUCCGCCACAACAAGGACCGAAAGGUUCGGCGCAAGGAGCCCAAGAGCCAGGAUAUCUACCUGAGGCUGUUGGUCAAGUUAUACAGGUUUCUGGCCAGAAGAACCAACUCCACAUUCAACCAGGUUGUGUUGAAGAGGUUGUUUAUGAGUCGCACCAACCGGCCGCCUCUGUCCCUUUCCCGGAUGGUGAGUGGCUGGUCCAGAGAGCACAGUAGACCUGGGAGCCACUGGGUCUUGUCUGUCUGGAAGGGAGGCAGGACUUGGAGCUCUGGGAGCAACCGGGGCAUCAAGGGUUUGUCUCAGCCAGUCGCGAGCUUAGAGCUUGGACUGUUGGUUGGAACUGAGUGUCCAUGGGCAGUGGGCAAGGCUCCUGGUCCUCCUCUCCUUCUCUUUGUGAGGUGGAGGUGUCCUGGUGGCUUCAGGAGAUUGCCCCAAGUCAUAACUGAGGUUUAUGUUAAAGGCCCUGCCGAGGGAGGCCCUAUUGAACAGUCUGCAUUUUUUUUUUUUAUCUGGAGCUUUCCCCAGCUGGAUCUGAGGAGAGGCCUGUGGGGUUUAAGGGGUGUGGUGUGAGUGGGGGGGUCCCGUUAGAGGGCACAGCUGCCCUGGUCUGGGGAUGCCUCAAGUGGGGCUGAAUGUAAACACCAGAACGACUUACGAUGUACAUCCUCCCCGCCCUAAGAUCCGGAAGAUGAAGCUUCCUGGCCGGGAAAACAAAACAGCCGUGGUUGUGGGGACCAUAACGGAUGACGUGCGGGUUCAGGAGGUGCCCAAACUGAAGGUGAGCUGGCGGGGGCUAGGCAGACCCAUCAGAUCCUUGCUGUGCUGUGCUGUGCUGGUCCAUCCUUAGUCUUGCCACCGCUGGUGAGGCAAGCAUCCUGCCUGUCUGAGUGGCUUUGAGGAUUGGUGUGGGUCGUCUCUGGCAUUGUUGAUGGUGGGGUCCCCUGGGCAAGCUUCUUCUGGGGCAAGUUGUAAGCUGUUAGUGCUGGCCCCUAGAGCCAGACAGCCUGGGCUCAAGUCUAGACUCCUUUGUCACCUCUGAACAAGUCAUUUUUUUGGCCCAGCCUACUUGCUGUUGUUUGUAGCAUAACACUAGGGAUGUGGUGUUAAAAGUUCCUAGAGAUAAAGUGUUGAGAACAGCUGCUGUCAGCCCAGGGUGCUCCAGGUAAUAAAUGAUAGUGUUGGUUACCAGGGCUCUGCUGUGCCAAGGCAGUGGAGGGUGAGUCCUGUCAGCCCCUGGGUGACCACGCAGGGGUCUGACCCGCCAGCCUUGUCCUUUCCACCAGGUAUGUGCACUGCGCGUGACCAGCCGGGCCCGCAGCCGCAUCCUCAGGGCAGGGGGCAAGAUCCUCACUUUCGACCAGCUGGCCCUGGACUCCCCUAAGGGCUGCGGCACUGUCCUGCUCUCCGGUCCUCGCAAGGGCCGAGAGGUGUACCGGCAUUUCGGCAAGGCCCCAGGAACCCCGCACAGCCACACCAAACCCUACGUCCGCUCCAAGGGCCGGAAGUUCGAGCGUGCCAGAGGCCGACGGGCCAGCCGAGGCUACAAAAACUAACCCUGGAUCCUGCUCUCUUAUUAAAACGAUUUUGAAUGCUGACAGUC